AUGCGCCUCCACUACGCCGACCUCUCCGACUCGUCCUCCCUCCGCCGCGCGCUCGACCACGUCCUCCCCGACGAGGUCUACAACCUUGCUGCCCAGUCCCACGUCGCCGUCUCCUUCGAGGUCCCCGACUACACAGCCGACGUCACCGCCACCGGCGCGCUCCGCCUACUCGAGGCUGUCCGCCUCUCCGCCAAGCCCAUGCGCUACUACCAGGCGGGGUCCUCGGAGAUGUUCGGCUCCACGCCGCCGCCGCAGAGCGAGACCACGCCCUUCUACCCGCGGUCACCCUACGCGGCCGCCAAGGUCGCCGCGCACUGGUACACCGUCAACUACCGCGAGGCCUACGGGCUCUUCGCGUGCAACGGCGUGCUCUUCAACCACGAGUCCCCCCGGCGCGGCGAGAACUUCGUCACCCGCAAGAUCACCCGCGCCAUCGGCCGCAUCAAGGUUGGGCUCCAGACCAAGGUCUUCCUCGGCAACCUCUCCGCCGCCAGGGAUUGGGGCUUCGCCGGGGAUUACGUCGAGGCGAUGUGGCUCAUGCUCCAGCAGGACAAGCCUGGCGAUUAUGUUGUCGCCACCGAAGAGUGCCACACGGUGGAGGAGUUCUUGCAGGCUGCUUUUGGGUACGCCGGCCUCAACUGGAAGGAUCAUGCGGUCAUUGACAACAAGUACUUUCGCCCUUCCGAGGUGGACUGCCUUCAGGGAGAUUCAUCCAAGUCGAGGAGAGUGCUUGGGUGGAAGCCCAAGCUUGGCUUCCAGCAGCUAGUGGAGAUGAUGGUAGAUAACGACAUCGAGCUCGCCACGAAGGAGAAGGUCCUUGUGGAUGCUGGCUACCACGACAUCUAG
Molecule: ribosomal RNA, 846 nt
Filed under: Triticum aestivum (bread wheat)
Lineage: Eukaryota; Viridiplantae; Streptophyta; Magnoliopsida; Poales; Poaceae
Description: partial small subunit ribosomal RNA
Source: RNAcentral